RNAcentral lists this unclassified non-coding RNA (390 nucleotides) under Hevea brasiliensis (rubber tree). Lineage: Eukaryota; Viridiplantae; Streptophyta; Magnoliopsida; Malpighiales; Euphorbiaceae. The record is from RNAcentral.
GGGGGGGGGGGGGGGGGGGGGGGCGCCGGCGGGGCGCGACCCUCCCUUGCUUAGAAGAGCAAAGGAGGACCACCUUGUGUGGCAGAUGAGGGAUCUAGAACAUUAGAGUAGAAGAAGAAAAAUAGAGAAAGACCAUCUUGUGUGACAGAUGAGCAUUAUUAUUAUUAUUAAAUAUUUUUUUAUCCGAGAAAAAAUGAGGGAAAAAAUGAGAGCUCCCUUUGCUUAGAAGAGCAAAGGAGGACCACCUUGUGUGGCAGAUGAGGGAUCUAGAACAUUAGAGUAGAAGAAGAAAAAUAGAGAAAGACCAUCUUGUGUGACAGAUGAGCAUUAUUAUUAUUAUUAAAUAUUUUUUUAUCCGAGAAAAAAUGAGGGAAAAAAUGAGAGCUCCCU